This is a non-coding RNA of Delphinapterus leucas (beluga whale), 2900 nucleotides long. The record is from RefSeq and is a predicted model, not a curated record. Lineage: Eukaryota; Metazoa; Chordata; Mammalia; Artiodactyla; Monodontidae.
UUCCCUCAAGGCUCCGCCCUCCCACGUCCCCGCCCCGUGCGCUAGUCUGGGUCCUUACAUGGUGCACAGCUCUUCCGUCCGGCCCCGCAGCUCCUGCAGGCCCCGCGCGGCCUGCGCCUGCUCGCGCUGCGCUCGCUCCCACUGGCCCAGGAAGCUGUCGAGCCUGCCGCCUAGGCCCCCGAGCAGCCGUAGGGCCUCCUGCACGGCCCCCUCCUCCUGAUGCCACCGGGCGGUCAGUGAGGACACCUCCCUCCUGUAGGGGUAGAGGUAUCCUGGCCUUCUCUCGGCCUGCCUCCCAGCCCCACAUCAGCUCCUCCAGACACUGCCUCCUCAAGAUACCGCUCGCGCCAACCCUUUGGAGUUGGAGCCUCCAAAGACCUGCCACGUUCCAAAACCCGCCCACCUCAUUUUCACCAGACGCGGACCCCCCUGCCACCGGCCCUAUGUUCAAAACUCGGUUCUUCGAAGUCCUGCCCUUCCGGGUCACCGCCCCCAGAACGCUCCUCUUCGAGGGUCCACCCCCUGGGCCCAUCCCAGGAUCCCACUCACCUCAGCUCCUCAAGGUCUUGCUCACCUCCCAGUUUUGCCCCACAGCCUGAGGUGGUCCACUCAGAGAACUCCUGCUUAUCCGUCAAAGCCCAGUUCCAACACUGCCUCCUCCAGAAGUUUUCCCUGAUCCCCCUAGCCUGGUUUGAGGGGCCCUUUUCUGGGAUCCCCAGUGUUACCUCCAUUAUGGAAUUUGUCACCCCAGUCUGUAUCUGUCACUCCCACCAGACGGGGGGCUUCCCUGGGGCAGGGACCUGGCCCGAUUCCUAUCUGUGACUCCAGCUUCACCCAGGACAUUUGGAAGUGACUGAAUGAACAAAAGACCAACUCGCAGGCAGCCGGCAGCAUUCACCCUGGAUGGAGCAGAUUUAUGGCUGACUGUAGGGCCUCAAAGGGUGACAAGAACCUUCUCGUUCCAAAUCAAGAAGACACCCCCCCCAAACCCAUCCUCAGUAUUUGCCUACCACCAGGGGAGAACCCUCGUAUUCCCCAGCCCGGCCGAGGGCCCUCUCACCAGUAUUUCCGUGAUGUCUGGGUCAUCUGGAGCCCAGGGUGGGAUGGGCACGGGCAAUGCCAGUAGGCUGCUGUCUUCCACGGUUGAGUCUGUCCCCGAGGAGUCGGUGGGCUCCAUGGCGGCCAGGUUGAGCAGGGACACAUUGGUGCAGGCUGAGGACCGUUUGAGGUUCAGGCAGCAGUGCAUUGGCUCAUAGGACAUCCGAGGCUCCACCCUAGGGAAGAGAAACAGGCAGGAGGGUCAAGAUGCCACCCCAGCAGGGUAUGGCCCCUCCCACCUCCCUGUCUGCACAUUCCCUACUCUCUCUGAUUUCAACCUCGCCGCCUGCUUUCUUCUUUCUCCUCCAUCCCUGCUACCUGUUUUCCUCCCUUUCCACCAGCACCCACAGUGGGACUUCUGCUCUGUCAGAGGCAAGGGCUGGGUGCUGGGACCGCCCCCGACAGGGUGUGACAAACCCACCCGUGGAAGGACACAGCCUUCUUUUUCUUUGAGAUCCCUUUGACUGGGCUGGUCACACCCCCAGGAGCCUCGGGGACCAGCUGGGAGCGACUCUCGACCCCCGUGGGGGGGUCCCCAGCCUCAUGGAUCUCUUUGGACUGCCAGAUCGUCUUCACCACCACGCUCGCCAUGGCCUGUGGAGGGCCCGGCUCCCAGGGGCUCCUUCCUCUGAGGCUCUCCACCUACACUGACCACUGACCCUCAAGGUCCCCUGUCCCCACAAGCCUGCCUCAUAAAGGACCCAACCACUGGGCCCCAGUAACGGGGGGUGGGGGCACAAGGGUGGGGAAACGUGACUUGGCACGUUCCCCCGGGGGGCUCAGUGAACUCUUGUUCAGGAUUCUAGUUCUACCCUGAUCUGUCCCUCCCCUUCAGAAACACAGUGAAAUUCCUUCUAGUCCAGAACUUACAGUGGACGGACCCACUGGUUCUUGGGAGGGGUCCAAAUUACCUUUCCCUGAAACUCACUGUGGGGUCACCCAGCCCCCCCAUUCAGACUUGCUUCAUCAUGUACUACCUUGGAUUUGUCACUUUCCCAGGAUCUGGGGGACGAUGAGGAUUGAAUACCAGCGCUGGAGGAUCUUACAUUCUAUGGGGGGUUGGAAGGGGACAGGCAGGCAAUAGAAACAAACCAAAAAUACCAGAUGUCCGAACGUGAUAUAAAGGGAAUCAAAACUGGGUGAUGGCCAUGUGGACAUUUGUCAAAGCUUGUCGAUUUGUGCACCUGGGAUUUGAGCCUUUUAUCGUGUGUGAAUUCUGCUUAUUAAAGCAUCUAAGCAAGCACUGAACUAUAGUUCAUUAUGUGCAUGUUGAAUAUUUGGAGUUGUGUUAGACCCCGGGACUGCUGUAACAAAGUCCUGCAGACUGAGCGUCUUAAACCGUAGCUAGUUAUUGUCUGACAGUUCUGGAGGCCAGAAGUCCAAGGUCAAGGUGUCAGCAGGGUUGGUUCCUUCUGAGGCUGUGAGGGAGAAUCUGUGCCUCUCUCCUAGUGUCUGGUAUCCUUAGGUGUUCCUUUGUUUGUAGAUGGCCAUCUUCUCCCCGUGUCUUCACACUACCUUCUCUGUGGAACUGUUUAUCUCUGUGUCCAAAUUUCCCCCCUUUUAAGGAACUGGACAUAUUGGAUUAGGGCCCACCCAAAUGACCAUGUCUUAACUUGAUCAUCUGUAAAGACCCUAUUUCCAAAUAAGGCCAAAUUCACAGCGACUGCGGGUUAGGACUUGAGCAUCUCUUGCAGGACGUAAUGCAACCCGUAACAGCGUUGAUGAGUACCGAUAUCUGCAACUUUGUUUUAUUCUGUUUUUUAAUUGUUUUUUUAUUGAAUAAAUUUGACUUUGUUGUUGUU